This 588-nucleotide ribosomal RNA is filed under the name uncultured bacterium. Its description in RNAcentral is "bacterial SSU rRNA". It matches the Rfam family "Bacterial small subunit ribosomal RNA", at positions 102 to 685 of the family's 1533-position model. The record is from RNAcentral.
ACGGGUGAGUAAUGCUUAGGAAUCUGCCUAUUAGUGGGGGACAACAUCUCGAAAGGGAUGCUAAUACCGCAUACGUCCUACGGGAGAAAGCAGGGGAUCUUCGGGCCUUGCGCUAAUAGAUGAGCCUAAGUCGGAUUAGCUAGUUGGUGGGGUAAAGGCCUACCAAGGCGACGAUCUGUAGCGGGUCUGAGAGGAUGAUCCGCCACACUGGGACUGAGACACGGCCCAGACUCCUACGGGAGGCAGCAGUGGGGAAUAUUGGACAAUGGGGGGAACCCUGAUCCAGCCAUGCCGCGUGUGUGAAGAAGGCCUUUUGGUUGUAAAGCACUUUAAGCGAGGAGGAGGCUACCGAGAUUAAUACUCUUGGAUAGUGGACGUUACUCGCAGAAUAAGCACCGGCUAACUCUGUGCCAGCAGCCGCGGUAAUACAGAGGGUGCAAGCGUUAAUCGGAUUUACUGGGCGUAAAGCGCGCGUAGGUGGCCAAUUAAGUCAAAUGUGAAAUCCCCGAGCUUAACUUGGGAAUUGCAUUCGAUACUGGUUGGCUAGAGUAUGGGAGAGGAUGGUAGAAUUCCAGGUGUAGCGGUGAA